UACGUAGGGGGCAAGCGUUAUCCGGAUUUACUGGGUGUAAAGGGAGCGUAGACGGCAUGGCAAGUCAGAUGUGAAAGCCCGGGGCUCAACCCCGGGACUGCAUUUGAAACUGUCAGGCUGGAGUGCAGGAGAGGUAAGCGGAAUUCCUAGUGUAGCGGUGAAAUGCGUAGAUAUUAGGAGGAACACCAGUGGCGAAGACGGCUUACUGGACUGUAACUGACGUUGAGGCUCGAAAGCGUGGGGAGCAAACAGG
RNAcentral lists this ribosomal RNA (253 nucleotides) under uncultured bacterium. Its description in RNAcentral is "partial 16S ribosomal RNA". It matches the Rfam family "Bacterial small subunit ribosomal RNA", at positions 524 to 776 of the family's 1533-position model. The record is from RNAcentral.